ACCACGACAAAGUAAACAUGUGAAAAUCAAAGUAAAACGGAACUCCCAUCCUUAAAAAUACAUUUGCACAGUGGUUUGGAAAUACAUGCAUAUUUUUCCACCCAAGGCAUGUUCUCUAAAAUCGUUGUCCCUCAUGUUGGGAAAAUUGUGUAUGCAUUUAGGCCAAAUAAAUUGUUCCCUAUUACAUACCACUUGUAAAUUACAGUCGAAUUAAAUACCUAAAUGAAAAUAAUACAACUUUAAAAUUAUUGGUAAGAAGCUAUAGAAAGAGAUAUAAGCACAGACUAUGGGAUUACUGAAACUGAUAAAAAAGUAUAAAUUAUUAAAGUUUGAUGAAUUCGAGUACAUUAAAGUUCAGUACAUCUCUGUGUUUCAAAAGACAACAAAAGUAAACCUUCCAACUGAGAGAAGAUACUUGCAGCAUAUUUAACAGACAAAAGGAGAGCACUCUGAAUAUAUAAAUUAAUAAGAUAAAGCACAACUCAAUAAAAAAGGAGGCCAAAGACAUGAACAGACUUUUCUCAAAAUAAAUAGAAAAAAAAUAAGCAAACAAAAGAAAAAAUGCUUUAAUUAAUAAUACGGUCAGGCACUGUGGCUCAUACCUGCAAUUCCAGCAUUUUAGGAGGCCAAGGCAGGAGGAUUGCUUGAGGAUAGGAGUUCGAGACCAGUCUGGUCAACAUAGGAGACCUCAUCUCUACAAAAAAUUUAAAAAUUAGCCAGGUGUGGUGGCUCACACCUAUAGUCCUUGUUACUGAGGAGCCUGAAGCAGGAGGAUCACUUGAGCCCAGAGAUGGAGGCUGCAGUGAGCUGAGCUGUGAUCAUGCCAUUUCAUCCUAGCCCAGGCAAAAGAGCAAGAACCUGUCUCUGAUAAUAAUAAUAAUAAGGAAGAGGAGGGAGAUAAAGUUAAAACCACAACAAAAUGAGAUUUAUACCCAACAGAUAGGGAAAUAUUUAAAGAUCUGAGAUUUCCAAGUCUUGGCAGUGAGGAGGAGCAGGGGAUCUCUCACGUUCUGCUGGUGGGAAUCAGUAAACUGAUAGUAUUACUAUAUCUGGAUAUUGGUUGGCUAGUUCUCAGAUCCUAAAACUGUUGAAGAUGUUCAUACUCUUCAUCCCAGCAAAUUCUCUCCUACUUAAGUACCCUGGAGAAACUCAUGUAAUAAUGUUUUCAGUAGCAAUCAUCAUCAUAACAACAAAAAACAGAAACCCAAAUGUCCAUGAAAUAGAGAAACAAAUAAAUUAAGGUAUGUAAUUCUAAACAGCUAUGAAAAUAAAACACAGAUAGACACAUCAAUGUAGAUGAAUUUGAGAAAUACCACAAUGUGUUUGCCACUUACAAAAGAAUAUAUAUGGUGUGAUUUCAUUUAGAUGAAGUCAAAAGCUGCACAAAACUAAGUGAUAAAUGAAUGACAUUUCUGUGGCACCUUGCGUUGGGAGGGUGCAGUGGGGAUCUCUAAAGUAGGAUGAUGUUUUGUGUCUUAAUCUGCAUGGUAAAUAUACAGGACUUUAUUAUCAUUCUUUUAAGCAUAUAUUGACAUGACACACAUCCUUUUGUACAUAUGACAUAUCUGAUUAAAAACAGUAAACCAAAGAGGCAAAUGGAAGCCUUUUUUUCUGCUGGACUUAAUCUGAAAAGCAUCUGGAUAGCAUCUUAGCAUCCUAGUCAAAUUCAGUAGGGAAAGACAUGAGGAGGUGCAGCAGAGACAGGGAAGUAGGGAGGGAGGGCAGGGGACAGGAGAGAGACAAAGACCGAGGAAGAUAGACCUUGUUCUAGAGACUUCAUUUCAGUUGCUUAAUCAAGCCAUGCCUAAAGCCAGAUCUACCUUCCUGGAAGUUUCAGUCUCAUGAGCCAUUAACUUCCCUCAUCUGCUUGAACUAAAAUAUGAGAAUUUUAGUCACUUACACACACACACAAAUACACACACAAACACACACACACACACACUGCUAAUUGAUCUAGAAGCUCAUUUCUUUCUCAUUUCUUUCUCUUUUUUUCUUUUUCUUUUUUUUUUUUUUUUAGGGAUUGGGUCUCUCUCUGUUACCCAGGCUGGAGUGCAGUGGCCCCAUCAUAGCUCACUGUAGCCCUGAACAUCUGGGCUCAAGCAAUCUUCCUGCCUCAGCCUCCAGAGUAGCUAAGACUACAGGUCUGCGACACCAUGCCCAGCUAAUUUAAAAAUUAUUUGUAGAGAUGGGGGUUUCAUUAUGUUGACUGGGCUGGUCUUGACCUCCUGGUCUCAAAUGAUCCUCCUGCCUCCACCUCCAAAGUUGCUGGGAUUACAGGUGUGAGCCACUGCACCUGGCCCAUUUUUCCUCUUAACCAGCC
RNAcentral lists this long non-coding RNA (2320 nucleotides) under Homo sapiens (human). RNAcentral's name for it is "non-protein coding lnc-FOXA2-10:2". The record is from RNAcentral. Lineage: Eukaryota; Metazoa; Chordata; Mammalia; Primates; Hominidae.